RNAcentral lists this ribosomal RNA (316 nucleotides) under uncultured bacterium. RNAcentral describes it as "bacterial SSU rRNA". It matches the Rfam family "Bacterial small subunit ribosomal RNA", at positions 28 to 334 of the family's 1533-position model. The record is from RNAcentral.
GAUGAACGCUAGCUACAGGCUUAACACAUGCAAGUCGAGGGGCAGCAUGGUCUUAGCUUGCUAAGGCCGAUGGCGACCGGCGCACGGGUGAGUAACGCGUAUCCAACCUGCCUUACACUCUUGGACAGCCUUUCUGAAAGGGAGAUUAAUACAAGAUGUUAUCAUGAGUAAGCAUUUUCGCAUGAUUAAAGGUUUACCGGUGUAAGAUGGGGAUGCGUUCCAUUAGAUAGUAGGCGGGGUAACGGCCCACCUAGUCUUCGAUGGAUAGGGGUUCUGAGAGGAAGGUCCCCCACAUUGGAACUGAGACACGGUCCAA